Cucumis sativus (cucumber) is the source of this 99-nucleotide non-coding RNA. The record is from Rfam. Lineage: Eukaryota; Viridiplantae; Streptophyta; Magnoliopsida; Cucurbitales; Cucurbitaceae.
UAUCGUGUCUGAUGUUGGAACGGUUCAAUCAAAUCAAAUCUCCUAUGAAUUGGGUCUUUUAAUUUGAUUGAGCCGUGCCAAUAUCGACCAUUGUCGUAA